CCUACGGGAGAUAGCAGUGGGGAAUAUUGCACAAUGGGGGAAACCCUGAUGCAGCGACGCCGCGUGAGUGAAGAAGUAUUUCGGUAUGUAAAGCUCUAUCAGCAGGAACGAGACAAGACGGUACCUGACUAAGAAGCCCCGGCUAACUACGUGCCAGCAGCCGCGGUAAUACGUAGGAGGCAAGCGUUAUCCGGAAUCACUGGGUGUAAAGGGAGCGUAGACGGCUGGGCAAGCCUGAAGUGAAAGGCAGGGGCCCAACCCCGGGACUGCCUUGGGAACUGUACGGCGUGAGUGCAGGAGUGGUAAGUGGAAUUCCUGGUGUAGCGGUGAAAUGCGUAGAUAUUAGGAGGAACACCAGUGGCGAAGGCAGCUUACUGGACUGUAACUGACGUUGAGGCUCGAAAGCGUGGGGAGCAAACAGGAUUAGAUACCCCAGUAGUC
RNAcentral lists this ribosomal RNA (441 nucleotides) under uncultured bacterium. RNAcentral describes it as "partial 16S ribosomal RNA". It matches the Rfam family "Bacterial small subunit ribosomal RNA", at positions 338 to 795 of the family's 1533-position model. The record is from RNAcentral.